UACGUAGGUGACAAGCGUUGUCCGGAUUUACUGGGCGUAAAGCGCGCGCAGGCGGUCCGCGAGGUGUCACGUGAAAGCCCCGGGCUCAACUCGGGAGGGUCGUGGCAAACCGGCGGACUUGAGGCCGGUAGAGGUGGGUGGAACUCCUGGUGGAGUGGUGAAAUGCGUAGAGAUCAGGAAGAACACCCGUGGCGAAGGCGGCCCACUGGGCCGGAACUGACGCUGAGGCGCGAAGGCGUGGGGAGCGAACGGG
RNAcentral lists this ribosomal RNA (253 nucleotides) under uncultured bacterium. RNAcentral's name for it is "partial 16S ribosomal RNA". It matches the Rfam family "Bacterial small subunit ribosomal RNA", at positions 524 to 776 of the family's 1533-position model. The record is from RNAcentral.